UUUUUUUUUUUUUUUUCAACCAAAAAAAAGCAAAAAAUUCCAUCCAUGGUUAAAAUGCUCUACAAAAAAAUAAAUGUCAACCCUAUCUUGUGUGCGCCCAAGUCAGUGUGGACGCUCAUGUCUCGUUGUACAAUAAAAAAACCACCUCAGUUAUAAAUGGGGCUGAAGUGCUCCAUACGUGGCAUAACCAUCAAAAGUCACACACCUAAUGGUAUACAAAAUUUCAAUUAUACGACAGUCACGAAGUCCAACCUCCAGGAAUGUCUCCCUUCCUGUUGAAUUUCUCCAGUAUUUACCAACAAAUAGAGUGGUUGCAUGCACUGAUGCUCAAUUCAAAUUGUACUCGUCACUACUCAAACCUAGCCAUCAUAUAUAAGGAAGCUUUUCUCACCUUGAGUAACGGACUAAUACAGAGGGAACCAAUUGUAUUUGACAGAAGACCUAGUGAUGCGGUGUAAGCACAGAGACAAAA
Molecule: unclassified non-coding RNA, 472 nt
Filed under: Hevea brasiliensis (rubber tree)
Lineage: Eukaryota; Viridiplantae; Streptophyta; Magnoliopsida; Malpighiales; Euphorbiaceae
Source: RNAcentral